This 235-nucleotide ribosomal RNA is filed under the name Escherichia coli. Its description in RNAcentral is "partial 16S ribosomal RNA". It matches the Rfam family "Bacterial small subunit ribosomal RNA", at positions 59 to 290 of the family's 1533-position model. Lineage: Bacteria; Pseudomonadati; Pseudomonadota; Gammaproteobacteria; Enterobacterales; Enterobacteriaceae. The record is from RNAcentral.
AAGUCGAACGGUAACAGGAAGAAGCUUGCUUCUUUGCUGACGAGUGGCGGACGGGUGAGUAAUGUCUGGGAAACUGCCUGAUGGAGGGGGAUAACUACUGGAAACGGUAGCUAAUACCGCAUAACGUCGCAAGACCAAAGAGGGGGACCUUCGGGCCUCUUGCCAUCGGAUGUGCCCAGAUGGGAUUAGCUAGUAGGUGGGGUAACGGCUCACCUAGGCGACGAUCCCUAGCUGG